This 398-nucleotide ribosomal RNA is filed under the name uncultured bacterium. RNAcentral describes it as "bacterial SSU rRNA". It matches the Rfam family "Bacterial small subunit ribosomal RNA", at positions 30 to 421 of the family's 1533-position model. The record is from RNAcentral.
AUUGAACGCUGGCGGCAUGCCUUACACAUGCAAGUCGAACGACAGCACGGGAGCAAUCCUGGUGGCGAGUGGCGAACGGGUGAGUAAUGUAUCGGAACGUACCUUUCAGUGGGGGAUAACGUAGCGAAAGUUACGCUAAUACCGCAUAUUCUGUGAGCAGGAAAGCAGGGGAUCGCAAGACCUUGCGCUGAUUGAGCGGCCGAUAUCAGAUUAGCUAGUUGGUGAGGUAAAGGCUCACCAAGGCGACGAUCUGUAGCGGGUCUGAGAGGAUGAUCCGCCACACUGGAACUGAGACACGGUCCAGACUCCUACGGGAGGCAGCAGUGGGGGAAUUUUGGUACGAAUAGGGCGGCAAGACCUGAUCCACGCCAUGCCGCCGUGAGUGAAGAAAGGACCGC